ACUUGGAAUAUUUCAGGUGGCUUUUAAGAUUCGCUAUUCCAAAUUGUCGUAGGGGUGUAAGAUCGAGAGAAACUAGUAAGUCUAUGUUGAUCAAAAGUGUGGACCACUACAGAAAAGGUUUUAGACAUUUGGCGAAGUUGAUGGUGGCAGAAGGACGCAUUCCGGAUAAAGACCUUAUAUAUUUUAUGACAUUGGAUGAAAUUAGAGAUUUGUUGAAUACGAGAUAUCCAAAAAUAAUAUCCA
This is a non-coding RNA of Parasteatoda tepidariorum (common house spider), 243 nucleotides long. The record is from RefSeq and is a predicted model, not a curated record. Lineage: Eukaryota; Metazoa; Arthropoda; Arachnida; Araneae; Theridiidae.